CUCCUCGCCGCCGCGGCGGCAGGCGCGGGGCCGCGCCGCGAGGCCUGAUCCCUGCAGCGCGGGCAGGCGGCGUCGCAGAGCGGAGCUAGCUGGAUGCGUCCGGACUCCUGCAGGUGAGAGUGAUUUUCCAGUGAUUGCUUUGGCCUGUACAACCAGAGAACAGGAUUCUUCCCUUCUUUUUGGCCACCAAAUGCCUAUGUGCACCACACAUUCCAGUGUGCUGAGAAGGGCAGAGCUUCUUGGAUGAUGAUGGAUGUCCCACCGGGCAGGAUGAAGGCAGAGCGUGUGGCAUCUCCACCUCAAGGGUCUGUGAGAGCCACUUCAGGAAUUUUUUGCUUGGAGUUACAUGACGAAAUUUGCAUUUCAGAAAGGCCACCUGAUACUGUAUGGAGGAUGGCCUAGAGGGCUGAACUGAUGCUUGAAGGCCCUGGAGCAAGCUUUUUAUGAUGCUUCUAUGGCACCAUCUGCCAACUGGAAAAAUGACCCUGCUCUGCACACAGACCUGUGUUCCUGUGGGCAGAGACCCCUCUGUCAGUUCUCAGAUGGGGAACCUGGAGCAUAGAGGGGGAAGCCACAGUUUCUUCA
This 585-nucleotide small RNA is filed under the name Pan troglodytes (chimpanzee). Its description in RNAcentral is "processed transcript". Lineage: Eukaryota; Metazoa; Chordata; Mammalia; Primates; Hominidae. The record is from RNAcentral.